UACGUAGGGUGCAAGCGUUAAUCGGAAUUACUGGGCGUAAAGCGUGCGCAGGCGGUUUUGUAAGUCUGACGUGAAAUCCCCGGGCUCAACCUGGGAAUUGCGUUGGAGACUGCAAGGCUAGAAUCUGGCAGAGGGGGUAGAAUUCCACGUGUAGCAGUGAAAUGCGUAGAGAUGUGGAGGAACACCGAUGGCGAAGGCAGCCCCCUGGGUCAAGAUUGACGCUCAUGCACGAAAGCGUGGGGAGCAAACAGG
RNAcentral lists this ribosomal RNA (252 nucleotides) under uncultured bacterium. Its description in RNAcentral is "partial 16S ribosomal RNA". It matches the Rfam family "Bacterial small subunit ribosomal RNA", at positions 524 to 776 of the family's 1533-position model. The record is from RNAcentral.